RNAcentral lists this ribosomal RNA (465 nucleotides) under uncultured bacterium. RNAcentral's name for it is "partial 16S ribosomal RNA". It matches the Rfam family "Bacterial small subunit ribosomal RNA", at positions 28 to 507 of the family's 1533-position model. The record is from RNAcentral.
GACGAACGCUGGCGGCGUGCUUAACACAUGCAAGUCGAACGGAAAGGCCCCUUUGGGGGUACUCGAGUGGCGAACGGGUGAGUAACACGUGAGUAACCUGCCCUUGACUUCGGGAUAACUUCAGGAAACUGGGUCUAAUACCGGAUAGGAAUCCUUGCUGCAUGGUGGGGGUGGGAAAGCUUCGGCGGUUUUGGAUGGACUCGCGGCUUAUCAGCUUGUUGGUGGGGUAGUGGCUUACCAAGGCUUUGACGGGUAGCCGGCCUGAGAGGGCGACCGGCCAAAUUGGGACUGGGAUACGGCCCAGACUCCUACGGGAGGCAACAGUGGGGAAUAUUUCACAAUGGGCGGAAGCCUGAUGCAGCAACGCCGCGUGCGGGAUGACGGCCUUCGGGUUGGAAACCGCUUUCAGCAGGGGCGAAGCUUGUGGUGACGGUACCUGCAGAAGAAGCACCGGCUAACUACGUG